RNAcentral lists this unclassified non-coding RNA (567 nucleotides) under Hevea brasiliensis (rubber tree). The record is from RNAcentral. Lineage: Eukaryota; Viridiplantae; Streptophyta; Magnoliopsida; Malpighiales; Euphorbiaceae.
CUAAUACUUCCACUUUACACCACCCAAACUACAACAUUAUUCAAACAAACCCAAUCACUUCAAAUAAAGCUACUAAUAUUAAUAGGAGUGGUAAAGCCACUAUUGCAAUAGGAACGCUUAUCAAUAAUAGUUAUGCAUAUAAUGAUAUCAUGAAUUAACUAAUACAAGAUUUCACAAAACUCCCAAAACAUAAAAUAAUAAACCAAACUUAAAAGUGCCCUUUAGAUGAAAACCAUAUCUUCUCCACCAUGAUUGGCUCCAAUGUUGCAGCUAGCAUCAGGUAGGGAUUCAUCACCUACAUCCCUGGUACAACCCUAACAAUGAAAUCAAUUUGAACCUCGGAUCAGGGAUAGAUCAUCUCACGAUCUAAUAUUCAUGAUAUAGCAAAAUUUACACAAAUUAAAGAUGAUAAAAAAAAGUUUAUAUUAAAUUUUUAUUGUGCAUAUAAUAAAAAGGUGAUAAAUGAGUCAUAUUCAGGUUAUUCCAGUGAAUGAUUAAUUUGAAUUAAAAAAAAAAGUAAGUUACAGGAAGACUAAGAGAGAUGGAGGUAUUUUUUUAUAAGAAAUU